Molecule: long non-coding RNA, 573 nt
Filed under: Homo sapiens (human)
Lineage: Eukaryota; Metazoa; Chordata; Mammalia; Primates; Hominidae
Description: non-protein coding lnc-CHPT1-6:1
Source: RNAcentral
UGGUCUCAAACUCCUGACCCCAGGUGAUGCACCCAUCUUGGCUCCCCAAAGUGCUGGGAUUACAGGCGUGAGCCACUGCGCCCGGCCCCAGAUUCAUCUUCUAAAAUGAAGGGUAGCAGUUUUCCAGACCCAUGUUGGAGGUGGCAGUGACCUCCAGAGUCCAUGCUUGGAAAAUGCUGAGGAAGAUGUCAACAAUCUGCCUUGUGGUUUAAGACGGGGUGGCGUGGGGUGCCUGGAAAGCCUGUGGUUUAGGUAGUUCCUCAGCAAGGAGCACUGCUCUGUGCCCCACCAUCCUCAAGGCCAGUUCCACCUCUGGACGACUCAGUUACAUGAGCUGAUAAAGUCUCUAACUUCAAUAAACUGGAGUUAGACUUCAGAUGAUUUUACCUGUAAGAGUCCUGACUGAUAAUGGAUACACAAGAGUUCCCCUAAUAUGAAAAUACAGUAAACAACUAUCAUCUAGAGUCAUUUUUAUUUCAUUUUUUUCUUUUGCAUUUUUUUUUCAGUACAGACUUGCCUUCACAGGAAAGAUCAUUUUUAUAUAAGUGGAUUCAGCUGCCCCCACUCACAACC